GCAUCUCUCCUCUGAGCUUGUCUUCCACAACAUCAACAAGGGCAAGUUCAUCAGCUAAGUCCUACAAGAGACCAAGAUUAAAUAUUAAGAAAAGCAAGCCUGAUGUUAAACACAGCAUUUUCAAUAUAAUAAUGCAAUGCAGAGGACAAGUCAUUCAGAGUGUCUAGGACCACUUUUUCCAGUCUACACUGCAAAGAAUUAUUCUACCACACUCUCUUUUGCUUCAGACAAAGUGAUGCCUCAGUUCUGAGAAGGGAUUCUGGAAGUCAUUCAAAGGUAAAUGCAGCUCUCAACUCAAAAUGAUACACAGAGCAUGUUCUAUCUGAUACUGGGAUAAACUUGGGUUUACAAGAACUACA
Long non-coding RNA from Aquila chrysaetos chrysaetos, 359 nucleotides. RefSeq lists it as uncharacterized. Lineage: Eukaryota; Metazoa; Chordata; Aves; Accipitriformes; Accipitridae. The record is from RefSeq and is a predicted model, not a curated record. The transcript has 2 exons.